Molecule: ribosomal RNA, 253 nt
Filed under: uncultured bacterium
Lineage: Bacteria
Description: partial 16S ribosomal RNA
Rfam family: Bacterial small subunit ribosomal RNA
Source: RNAcentral
UACGGGGGGGGCAAGCGUUGUUCGGAAUUACUGGGCGUAAAGGGCUCGUAGGCGGCCAACUAAGUCGGAUGUGAAAUCCCCAGGCUCAACCUGGGAACUGCAUCCGAUACUGGAUGGCUUGAAUCCGGGAGAGGGAUGCAGAAUUCCUGGUGUAGCGGUGAAAUGCGCAGAUAUCAGGAGGAACACCGGUGGCGAAGGCGGGUCUCUGGGCCGUAACUGACGCUGAGGAGCGAAAGCAUGGGGAGCGAACAGG